This 200-nucleotide unclassified non-coding RNA is filed under the name Ascomycota sp. RNAcentral describes it as "partial internal transcribed spacer 2". Lineage: Eukaryota; Fungi; Ascomycota. The record is from RNAcentral.
UUAAGUUCAGCGGGUAUCCCUACCUGAUCCGAGGUCAACCUGAAAAAAUGGGGGGUUGUUGGCAGGCACGCGCCCAGGCCUCCAGAGCGAGAAGAGUUACUGCGCUCGGGGCCGGGCGGCACCGCCACUGACUUUAGGGCCCGCCAGGCGGCGGGGCCCAACACCAAGCUAGGCUUGAGGGUUGUAAUGACGCUCGGACA